AUUGAACGCUGGCGGCAUGCUUUACACAUGCAAGUCGAACGGCAGCGCGGGCUUCGGCCUGGCGGCGAGUGGCGAACGGGUGAGUAAUGCAUCGGAACGUGCCCAGUAGUUGGGGAUAGCCCGGCGAAAGCCGGAUUAAUACCGCAUACGACCUGAGGGUGAAAGCGGGGGACCGAAAGGCCUCGCGCUAUUGGAGCGGCCGAUGUCGGAUUAGCUAGUUGGUGGGGUAAAGGCUUACCAAGGCGACGAUCCGUAGCUAGUCUGAGAGGACGACCAGCCACACUGGGACUGAGACACGGCCCAGACUCCUACGGGAGGCAGCAGUGGGGAAUUUUGGACAAUGGGGGCAACCCUGAUCCAGCCAUGCCGCGUGCGGGAAGAAGGCCUUCGGGUUGUAAACCGCUUUUGUUCGGGAAGAAAUCCUCUGGGCUAAUACCCCGGGGGGAUGACGGUACCGGAAGAAUAAGCACCGGCUAACUACGUG
Molecule: ribosomal RNA, 484 nt
Filed under: uncultured bacterium
Lineage: Bacteria
Description: partial 16S ribosomal RNA
Rfam family: Bacterial small subunit ribosomal RNA
Source: RNAcentral